This 497-nucleotide ribosomal RNA is filed under the name uncultured bacterium. Its description in RNAcentral is "partial 16S ribosomal RNA". It matches the Rfam family "Bacterial small subunit ribosomal RNA", at positions 28 to 507 of the family's 1533-position model. The record is from RNAcentral.
GAUGAACGCUGGCGGCGUGCCUAAUACAUGCAAGUCGAGCGAACAGACGAGGAGCUUGCUCCUCUGACGUUAGCGGCGGACGGGUGAGUAACACGUGGAUAACCUACCUAUAAGACUGGGAUAACUUCGGGAAACCGGAGCUAAUACCGGAUAACAUGUUGAACCGCAUGGUUCAACAGUGAAAGACGGUCUUGCUGUCACUUAUAGAUGGAUCCGCGCCGCAUUAGCUAGUUGGUAAGGUAACGGCUUACCAAGGCAACGAUGCGUAGCCGACCUGAGAGGGUGAUCGGCCACACUGGAACUGAGACACGGUCCAGACUCCUACGGGAGGCAGCAGUAGGGAAUCUUCCGCAAUGGGCGAAAGCCUGACGGAGCAACGCGGCGUGAGUGAAGAAGGUCUUCGGAUCGUAAAACUCUGUUAUUAGGGAAGAACAAAUGUGUAAGUAACUAUGCACGUCUUGACGGUACCUAAUCAGAAAGCCACGGCUAACUACGUG